UAGGGAAUCUUCCACAAUGGACGAAAGUCUGAUGGAGCAACGCCGCGUGAGUGAAGAAGGGUUUCGGCUCGUAAAACUCUGUUGUCAAAGAAGAACAUAUCUGAGAGUAACUGUUCAGGUAUUGACGGUAUUUAACCAGAAAGCCACGGCUAACUACGUGCCAC
This 164-nucleotide ribosomal RNA is filed under the name uncultured bacterium. Its description in RNAcentral is "partial 16S rRNA". It matches the Rfam family "Bacterial small subunit ribosomal RNA", at positions 355 to 511 of the family's 1533-position model. The record is from RNAcentral.